UACGGAAGGCAGCAGUGGGGAAUAUUGGACAAUGGGCGGAAGCCUGAUCCAGCCAUGCCGCGUGUGUGAAGAAGGCCUUUUGGUUGUAAAGCACUUUUAAGCGAGGAGGAGGCUACUAGUACUAAUACUACUGGAUAGUGGACGUUACUCGCAGAAUAAGCACCGGCUAACUCUGUGCCAGCAGCCGCGGUAAUACAGAGGGUGCGAGCGUUAAUCGGAUUUACUGGGCGUAAAGCGUGCGUAGGCGGCUGAUUAAGUCGGAUGUGAAAUCCCUGAGCUUAACUUAGGAAUUGCAUUCGAUACUGGUCAGCUAGAGUAUGGGAGAGGAUGGUAGAAUUCCAGGUGUAGCGGUGAAAUGCGUAGAGAUCUGGAGAAUCCGAUGGCGAAGGCAGCCAUCUGGGCCUAAUACUGACGCUGAGUCGAAAGGCAUGGGGAAGGCAAACAGGAUUAAGGAAUAACCC
RNAcentral lists this ribosomal RNA (461 nucleotides) under uncultured bacterium. RNAcentral's name for it is "bacterial SSU rRNA". It matches the Rfam family "Bacterial small subunit ribosomal RNA", at positions 340 to 787 of the family's 1533-position model. The record is from RNAcentral.